This 253-nucleotide ribosomal RNA is filed under the name uncultured bacterium. RNAcentral's name for it is "partial 16S ribosomal RNA". It matches the Rfam family "Bacterial small subunit ribosomal RNA", at positions 524 to 776 of the family's 1533-position model. The record is from RNAcentral.
UACGAAGGGGGCUAGCGUUGCUCGGAAUUACUGGGCGUAAAGGGCGCGUAGGCGGCCUUCUAAGUCAGACGUGAAAUCCCUCGGCUCAACCGAGGAACUGCGUCUGAUACUGGAAGGCUUGAAUCCGGGAGAGGGAUGUGGAAUUCCAGGUGUAGCGGUGAAAUGCGUAGAUAUCUGGAGGAACACCGGUGGCGAAGGCGGCAUCCUGGACCGGUAUUGACGCUGAGGCGCGAAAGCUAGGGGAGCAAACGGG